Molecule: long non-coding RNA, 413 nt
Filed under: Mytilus galloprovincialis (Mediterranean mussel)
Lineage: Eukaryota; Metazoa; Mollusca; Bivalvia; Mytilida; Mytilidae
Source: RNAcentral
UUACCAUUCAGUGAUAACAAGCACUUUAUUUAACAUUUUAAUAUUUUAUGAUGUAUUUAAAAGAGUAGUUAUUGUUGCAAACUCCAUUAGAAAUUUGAAUUGAUAUCAGUUUUGGAAAAAGGGAAACGGGGAUGUGAAAAAAAGGGGGGGGUUAAAUUUUUCUCAUUUCAGAUUUCAUAAAUAAAAAGAAAAUUUCUUCAAACAUUUUUUUGAGAGGAUUAAUAUUCAACAGCAUAGUGAAUUGCUAAAAGGCAAAAACAAACUUUUAAGUUCAUUAGACCACAUUCAUUCUGUGUCAGAAACCUAUGCUAUGUCAACUAUUUAAUUUUAGAUUUAAAAAGUUUGAAGAAGAAAUCUUUAAUUGUAAAAUUUGUAAAAUCUUGACAUUUGUUUUGUGUAAAAAAAACCCCAUG